RNAcentral lists this ribosomal RNA (330 nucleotides) under uncultured eukaryote. RNAcentral's name for it is "partial 18S ribosomal RNA". It matches the Rfam family "Eukaryotic small subunit ribosomal RNA", at positions 1470 to 1796 of the family's 1831-position model. The record is from RNAcentral.
CCCUUAGAUGUUCUGGGCCGCACGCGCGCUACACUGAUGCAUUCAACGAGUCUAAAACCUGGUCUGAUAGGGCUGGGUAAUCUUUUGAAAGUGCAUCGUGAUUGGGAUAGAUGAUUGCAAUUCUUCAUCUUCAACGAGGAAUGCCUAGUAAACGCAAGUCAUCAGCUUGCAUUGAUUACGUCCCUGCCCUUUGUACACACCGCCCGUCGCUCCUACCGAUUGAAUGAUCCGAUGAAUACCAUGGAUUGAGAGUACGAAUAGGUUCGCUUAUUUCUGCUGCUCGAGAAGUGGAGUAAAUCUUNUNAUUUAUNGGAAGGAGAANUCGUANCA